UGGCGGCGUGCUUAACACAUGCAAGUCGAACGGGAUCCAUCAAGCUUGCUUGGUGGUGAGAGUGGCGAACGGGUGAGUAAUGCGUGACCAACCUGCCCUGUACUCUGGAAUAGCUCCUGGAAACGGGUGGUAAUGCCGGAUGCUCCACAUGGGUGCAUGCCUGUGUGGGAAAGGGUUUACCGGUAUGGGAUGGGGUCGCGUCCUAUCAGCUUGACGGCGGGGUAAUGGCCCACCGUGGCUUUGACGGGUAGCCGGCCUGAGAGGGCGACCGGCCACAUUGGGACUGAGAUACGGCCCAGACUCCUACGGGAGGCAGCAGUGGGGAAUAUUGCACAAUGGGGGGAACCCUGAUGCAGCGACGCCGCGUGCGGGAUGACGGCCUUCGGGUUGUAAACCGCUUUUGAUUGGGAGCAAGCGUUAAGUGAGUGUACCUUUCGAAUAAGCGCCGGCUAACUACGUGCCAGCAGCCGCGGUAAUACGUAGGGCGCAAGCGUUGUCCGGAAUUAUUGGGCGUAAAGGGCUCGUAGGCGGCUCGUCGCGUCUGGUGUGAAAGUCCAUCGCUUAACGGUGGAUCUGCGCCGGGUACGGGCGGGCUGGAGUGCGGUAGGGGAGACUGGAAUUCCCGGUGUAACGGUGGAAUGUGUAGAUAUCGGGAGGAACACCAAUGGCGAAGGCAGGUCUCUGGGCCGUUACUGACGCUGAGGAGCGAAAGCGUGGGGAGCGAACAGGAUUAGAUACCCUGGUAGUCCACGCCGUAAACGGUGGACGCUGGAUGUGGGGCCCAUUCCACGGGUUCCGUGUCGGAGCUAACGCGUUAAGCGUCCCGCCUGGGGAGUACGGCCGCAAGGCUAAAACUCAAAGAAAUUGACGGGGGCCCGCACAAGCGGCGGAGCAUGCGGAUUAAUUCGAUGCAACGCGAAGAACCUUACCUGGGCUUGACAUGUUCCCGGCGACAUCAGAGAUGGUGUUUCCCUUCGGGGCGGGUUCACAGGUGGUGCAUGGUCGUCGUCAGCUCGUGUCGUGAGAUGUUGGGUUAAGUCCCGCUACGAGCGCAACCCUCGCCCCGUGUUGCCAGCACGUCAUGGUGGGAACUCACGGGGGACCGCCGGGGUUAACUCGGAGGAAGGUGGGGAUG
This 1135-nucleotide ribosomal RNA is filed under the name uncultured bacterium. RNAcentral's name for it is "bacterial SSU rRNA". It matches the Rfam family "Bacterial small subunit ribosomal RNA", at positions 37 to 1181 of the family's 1533-position model. The record is from RNAcentral.